GUGAAAGAAGUAAUGGUGAUUGAUUGUAGACAUAAGCCAUGAUUCUUAAUUUUGUUUUGUUUUGUUGCAGAAUGCCCUCUCCUACCUUCAUGAAUUUUUGUAACCCUUCCCCAGGAAAAAAAAUGAUAGGAAUUAUAUUUAUAACUGCAUUUACACAAAAUUUUUCAUGUAAUUUAAAUAUCUGUAAACUUUUGACACCCAUCUGUGGAUUGCAGAUUAUGAAUCCCAAGUUUAGAAUAAAAAGUAAAGGAGGAAGACAAUUAUGUUGGCUUCCCAUGGCACUUUCCAAAUUUGGCAUAAUGCAGUACAGCAUCUGGUUUGUUGAAAACUGGCCAAAGGAACUAUUACUGAGAGGAAAUUAGCACCAAAGUGAUUGGACACAAAUUUGGAAAGGGA
This 396-nucleotide long non-coding RNA is filed under the name Felis catus (domestic cat). Its description in RNAcentral is "lncRNA (ENSFCAG00000045969.2)". The record is from RNAcentral. Lineage: Eukaryota; Metazoa; Chordata; Mammalia; Carnivora; Felidae.